GACGAACGCUGGCGGCGUGCUUAACACAUGCAAGUCGAGCGGUAAGGCCCUUUCGGGGGUACACGAGCGGCGAACGGGUGAGUAACACGUGGGUGACCUGCCCUCAGCUCUGGGAUAAGCCUGGGAAACCGGGUCUAAUACCGGAUAUGACUCCAUGGCGCAUGUUGUGGGGUGGAAAGCCUUGUGCGGCUGAGGAUGGGCCCGCGGCCUAUCAGCUUGUUGGUGGGGUGAUGGCCUACCAAGGCGACGACGGGUAGCCGGCCUGAGAGGGCGACCGGCCACACUGGGACUGAGACACGGCCCAGACUCCUACGGGAGGCAGCAGUGGGGAAUCUUGCGCAAUGGGCGAAAGCCUGACGCAGCGACGCCGCGUGAGGGAUGAAGGGCUUUUGCUUGUAAACCUCUGUAGUGAGAAGAAAAAAUACCCGCUUUGCGGGACAUGAUGGUAUCUCAAAAGUAAAGCCCGGACUAACUAACGUGCCAGCAGCCGCCGUAAU
Molecule: ribosomal RNA, 497 nt
Filed under: uncultured bacterium
Lineage: Bacteria
Description: bacterial SSU rRNA
Rfam family: Bacterial small subunit ribosomal RNA
Source: RNAcentral